UAUCCGUAGGUGAACCUGCGGAGGGAUCAUCACAGAGUUCAUGCUCUACCGGGUAGAUCUCCCACCCUAUGUUAUUAUUACUUUGUUGCUUUGGCGGGCCGUUAGGCUCCGGCCCGACUACCGGCCCCGGCUGGUAAGCGCCCGCCAGAGGACCCAAAACCCUGAAUAUUAGUGUCGUCUGAGUACCAUAUAAUAGUUAAAACUUUCAACAACGGAUCUCUUGGUUCUG
RNAcentral lists this unclassified non-coding RNA (229 nucleotides) under plant metagenome. Its description in RNAcentral is "partial contains small subunit ribosomal RNA, internal transcribed spacer 1, and 5.8S ribosomal RNA". The record is from RNAcentral.